CAAACGGCCUUUGUCAAGGCCACCCAAUUCCUCCAGAAAGAGUUG
Non-coding RNA from Astyanax mexicanus (Mexican tetra), 45 nucleotides. Lineage: Eukaryota; Metazoa; Chordata; Actinopteri; Characiformes; Acestrorhamphidae. The record is from Rfam.